GAGUUUUACUCUAUAACAAAGAGAACGACAAAAACCUUAUUAUUACCUGUGCAGUGAGCACUUAAAACUACUACUAUUGAGUGUUUAUUCUUUAUUUCUGCUUUAGUCUGUGUAUAAAAAAUGGUUAUAAAUAAAUGUUAUUGUCAGAGUCUGAGUCUGUGUGUGUUUGUUUGUGUGUGUGUGUGUUAUGUGUGUAUUGUGUACUUGUUUUUCUAACCAUUCAGUUUCUAGUUGGUGCUGGAGUUCUCAGGUGCGCUGGAUGACAGGUGUUUUCCAUCUGCUGAUUGCUUGGAGGAGUACUUGAGAGGGAGGCUGCCAGCACUUCGAUGCCAGAGUGUUUGCCUUAAGUGGUAACAAGCUCAGCCACUACUGAUUUUUGUGCUUUGUUUUUGAACUCAAGUAAUCUUGCAUUUUGUUCCCACCCAGGUUUCUACCUGAGGCUUUGUUUAUGUUGCUGAGUUCUGACUUCGUUCCAGAGUUUCUCUGAGCAUCUGGAUUAUCAGCUACUGAGUUAAGGAACUACCUUCUUGUGGAUUUCUCUCACUUCUGUCUGUACCUUUCGGACAUGGACCAAGCUGGCGGCUUCCCGUUUCCCUCGACUCCAGGACCCAGGCAUCAGCGCACCCUGCUUCUUCCUCCAUCUUUAACAUUGGCACCUGAGCUCCUUUUGGCUGGCACCAAGCUCACCACAGAGAAGACAACUGAACAAUCCUCCAUUGCAAGUUAAGACUCUGAAUCUCUCUACCCCUGGUGGUUCUUGCUUCAACAAUUUAUUGGUGUUCCCAGUUCCCGUCCCAGACUACUUUGUUGACAAUAAAAACCGUAAAACUUU
Long non-coding RNA from Girardinichthys multiradiatus, 832 nucleotides. RefSeq lists it as uncharacterized. The transcript has 2 exons. The record is from RefSeq and is a predicted model, not a curated record. Lineage: Eukaryota; Metazoa; Chordata; Actinopteri; Cyprinodontiformes; Goodeidae.